RNAcentral lists this ribosomal RNA (468 nucleotides) under uncultured bacterium. RNAcentral's name for it is "partial 16S ribosomal RNA". It matches the Rfam family "Bacterial small subunit ribosomal RNA", at positions 28 to 507 of the family's 1533-position model. The record is from RNAcentral.
GACGAACGCUGGCGGCGUGCUUAACACAUGCAAGUCGAACGGAAAGGCCCUGCUUUUGCGGGGUGCUCGAGUGGCGAACGGGUGAGUAACACGUGAGUAACCUGCCCUUGACUUUGGGAUAACUUCAGGAAACUGGGGCUAAUACCGGAUAGGAGCUCCUGCUGCAUGGUGGGGGUUGGAAAGUUUCGGCGGUUGGGGAUGGACUCGCGGCUUAUCAGCUUGUUGGUGGGGUAGUGGCUUACCAAGGCUUUGACGGGUAGCCGGCCUGAGAGGGUGACCGGCCACAUUGGGACUGAGAUACGGCCCAGGCUCCUACGGGAGGCAGCAGUGGGGAAUAUUGCACAAUGGGCGGAAGCCUGAUGCAGCAACGCCGCGUGCGGGAUGACGGCCUUCGGGUUGUAAACCGCUUUCGCCUGUGACGAAGCGUGAGUGACGGUAAUGGGUAAAGAAGCACCGGCUAACUACGUG